This 114-nucleotide small nucleolar RNA is filed under the name Castor canadensis (American beaver). Its description in RNAcentral is "Small nucleolar RNA SNORA51 (ENSCCNG00000016615.1)". It matches the Rfam family "Small nucleolar RNA SNORA51". From Rfam's summary of the family: ACA51 is a member of the H/ACA class of snoRNA that guide the sites of modification of uridines to pseudouridines. Lineage: Eukaryota; Metazoa; Chordata; Mammalia; Rodentia; Castoridae. The record is from Rfam by way of RNAcentral.
GGCCUCCUGGUGCUGUUCUUACACUGUAGAGAGUGGAAGCGAAGUAAACCUACCCCAUAAUACACCUCAGCCCAGGCCCUGUGGCUGGUCUGUAUUGUGAAUGGGGAGACAUGG